GGAGAGAUAUCGAAGCGGUCAUAACGAGGCGGUCUUGAAAACCGUUUGUCCGCAAGGGCGCGAGGGUUCGAAUCCCUCUCUCUCCG
This is a non-coding RNA of Coprococcus eutactus CAG:665, 86 nucleotides long. NCBI's taxonomy places the organism in Bacteria, Bacillati, Bacillota, Clostridia, Lachnospirales, Lachnospiraceae. The record is from Rfam.